UACGAAGGGGGCGAGCGUUGUUCGGAUUUACUGGGCGUAAAGGGCGCGCAGGCGGCUCGUUUUGUCAGGCGUGAAAGCCCCGGGCUUAACCUGGGAACUGCGUUUGAUACGGACGGGCUAGAGUUCGGGAGAGGAGAGUGGAAUUCCACGUGUAGCGGUGAAAUGCGUAGAGAUGUGGAGGAACACCAAUGGCGAAGGCAGCUCGCUGGGACGUGACUGACGCUGAGACGCGAAAGCGUGGGGAGCAAACAGG
This 253-nucleotide ribosomal RNA is filed under the name uncultured bacterium. Its description in RNAcentral is "partial 16S ribosomal RNA". It matches the Rfam family "Bacterial small subunit ribosomal RNA", at positions 524 to 776 of the family's 1533-position model. The record is from RNAcentral.